RNAcentral lists this ribosomal RNA (719 nucleotides) under Diplocarpon mespili. Its description in RNAcentral is "LSU rRNA". It matches the Rfam family "Eukaryotic large subunit ribosomal RNA", at positions 192 to 928 of the family's 3401-position model. The record is from RNAcentral. Lineage: Eukaryota; Fungi; Ascomycota; Leotiomycetes; Helotiales; Drepanopezizaceae.
GGAACAGGACGUCGCAGAGGGUGAGAAUCCCGUAUGUGACCGGGCGCCUCCGCCCAUGUGAAGCUCUUUCGACGAGUCGAGUUGUUUGGGAAUGCAGCUCAAAAUGGGUGGUAUAUUUCAUCUAAAGCUAAAUAUGGGCCAGAGACCGAUAGCGCACAAGUAGAGUGAUCGAAAGAUGAAAAGCACUUUGGAAAGAGAGUUAAACAGUACGUGAAAUUGUUGAAAGGGAAGCGCUUGCAACCAGACUUGCGCGCGGGCGAUCACCCGGGCUUCUGCCCGGGGCACUCGCCCGCGCUCAGGCCAGCAUCGGUUCUGGUGGUGGGACAAAGGCCGGGGGAACGUAGCUCCCUUCGGGGAGUGUUAUAGCCCCCGGUGCAAUGCCGCCCACCGGGACCGAGGACCGCGCUCCGGCUAGGAUGCUGGCGUAAUGGUUGCAAGCGACCCGUCUUGAAACACGGACCAAGGAGUCUAACAUCUAUGCGAGUGUUUGGGUGUCAAACCCAUACGCGCAAUGAAAGUGAACGGAGGUGAGAACCCUGAAGGGUGCAUCAUCGACCGAUCCUGAUGUCUUCGGAUGGAUUUGAGUACGAGCAUAGCUGUUGGGACCCGAAAGAUGGUGAACUAUGCGUGAAUAGGGUGAAGCCAGAGGAAACUCUGGUGGAGGCUCGCAGCGGUUCUGACGUGCAAAUCGAUCGUCAAAUUUGCGUAUAGGGGCGAAA